GGUCUGAGGGACAGUGAACUGGCCCCCUGUUUAAAAAGUUCGAGGACCCCUGCUCUAGAUGAUUGUUUCUGUGCCCUUACAAGGGGUUGUUCUAAAGAGGAGUUGAUCUGCACCUGUGGAUGUGGGCCAAAUUCAACAGAAUUGAAUUUCCCUCCACGGCCCACAGGCUGUGAAGAAAUGGUUUAGUUUGGGUAGCACUGCAUAGGAGAGAGACUGGACUGAGGAGGAGAGCAUCUCUGACAAUUUGUUCUCCUGAUCUUUGGCAAGUUGGACUUAGUGCUUAUGGCGUGUGAGGCACUGUUGUAAGUGCUUUAUACCUGUUAGUGAAAUCCUCACCCUAACCCUAUCAGGUACAGCUGAUACUUGUUGUUUGUGGUAGUUAUGUUCUAUAAAGCCACCUGGAACACUUAAUUAGUGAAUAUUGAACCAUUGUUCCUAGAGGACAUAUAGGGUUAGGCUUCUGCAAGCUGAUUGCAAGAUUAGAUUUCUGACAGCUGAUCAAUAUACAACCUUGUUUUAUGUGUUUCUGCUUAAAGACACCUUAUUUAAUAUGUUGAUUCAUUAAUAUUGACCUCACAGCCAAUAGCACUAUAUCUCACGUCUGAACGAAGCCUAUGUGUUUAACAUGUAUGUCAGCACUAGCACUAUGCUUGGGGGACAUUCUAAAGAGUGAGAUUACCAACAAAAAGAACAAAAAAGCAAAAACAAAACAGUGACACUGAAUAGGUCACAAAAAGGACACCUGUCUCCAGUCUGAGAACUGAAGCAGGAAGGCAAUGUGUUGCCUGUUUCACCUUGGCUGAGCAUGUGGCCUUGGGCAGCUCUGUAUUUUGUGACGCUCUGUGCAUAUUCACGAAUGACCUCGAAAACAUCACUAGUAUUGAUUUUGGGGUUACAGGUAAAUCUUAGUGCGUGGGAGAAUUUGCUAGUACAGAAUCUGUGAAUAAUGAGGGUUGACUGUAAUUACGCCUGUAAUCCCCACUGGGUGGUUAGAGAAACUGAGGCACAGAGAACUUCAGUAUCUUGCUCUAAGGCACACAUGGCUGAGCUGGGAUUCACAUCCUGUUAUAUUACAAUGCCGUGGAAAGAGUAGAGCCCUUCUGGUACACAGAGACGUGUGUAACUAGAUGCUUAUAUGCUGUGUGCUAGAAAUUGUGUUUGAAGUAUGAGACUUUCUGAAGAAACACCUUUUCCUGUAUUGAGGCUGGCGAAACCAGGUGCCAGUGGGAAAGAAGGAUAGGCGUAAGGGAGGGCUUGUAACAUUUAAAAGGGGAUCACCACCAGCUCUAGAAGUACAGUAAUCUUUUACAUUUGUGGAGUUUUCCAUUUCAGCGUGGACUCACAUGACCUUUAUGCUGAUCAAAUCAUCUUCUACCGUUGGAAGGGCUCUUAAAAAAUGUCGGUGAAUGUGUUAGUGUCAGUGACAUCUCUCAGACUGGGGCCCAGAUGGCCUGACUUUCCCCCCACAACAUGCUGUUGGGUUUCUUGGAGCCAGGUCUCUGAGCAGAUUGGGAAGAGCUGGCUCACCUCAUCCCUGCAGAAACCUGCAGUUUGCAACGCCGGUAGCUCUGGGGCCAGACACAGGGGCACAAAAGGCUAUUACUGUAGGAAGGUGCCCUGGGCUGAAAGAAUCCCCUUCCAAGCUCGGCACUUCUUCCUUCUUGAAAGACAGAGGAGGGAUGGGGAGGGCCAGAGGGCCGUGGAUGCUAUUCCUUGAACAGGGCCUCAGGCCCAAUAGUAGGAGCUGAGUGCUGUACAGGAAACCAACUGUUCAAAAGUCACAAGGAUGACUUUUAAAGGUUUUCUUCCCAGGCAAACCACAGCAUCCCUGUUCUCUUUUUAUGACUUGCAUUAGUCAGUCUUAGUGACAUUGGAAGUUCCCCAGAACUUAUACAUCAUGUGAUCUAGGUUUCCUGAAACCUUUUAUUCUCUAGAUAUCUUGAAGUGAUUGUAUUACUACACCUUUGUUUAAAAAGUAAAUUCUGAUUAAGUGUUGGGUAAAAUAGUAUAUUCUGUUAAUGGGUGAAGUCCUUUUUAGUCUGGUUAAUAAAUAUUUGUUUCGUGCUUAGUAUAUACCACACACUCUAUGCUUUUGUGCACCUUUAGAAAGUAAUUUUAGUGAGACAGUGUGUAUCCAAAGACAGUGUGUAUGUCUUAAAGAGCCCCUAAACUGUUUGACAGUGUCCUGAAUUACUUCUUACUUAGCCUUAAAAAAAAACAACCUUUUGAAAACCUGUGUUUGUGUGUGUGAUAUCACAGACGACAAACAUACAAAAGUCCGUACUGUGUAAAGAACAAGUAUAAGUGAGACUCCUGUAACCGCCUCCCAGGGUAAGAGAUAGCUAUUGCCAGCCCCUUAUCUGCUUCCUGAUCACAUGUAGACCUUUGUGGUACUCAUUUCCUUGUCUUUCUCUCCAGCUUUACCUAUAUGUGCACCUUAAAGAUGAGCUUUAGUUUUGCCUAAUUUUAACUUCUCAUAAAUGAGAUCAAACUGCGUGCUCUCGUCUGACUCACUUUGUUUGCCCCACUUGGUGAGAUUCGUCCAUGUUGCUGUGUGUAGCUUAGUUCUUUUAUUGCUUUAUAGUGUAUUCCAUUUUGUUCAUGCGUCCUGCUGUUGGUGGACUGUUGGGUGGUUUCCAGUUGGAAGCUAUUUGGCAUGGUUUAGAUUUCAAAGUCAGCACGGAAGGAGAAAUUAAUGGUUCAUCCUUCAGCCAUCCUGGCCUCCUCCUGGUCCCUCAGAUGUACCAAACACACCCCUGUCUCAGGGCCUUUGUGCUUCCCGUCCUCCCUGCCUAGAAUAUUCUUCUUCUAGUUACCUGCAUGGGUAGCUCCCUCACUUUACUCAGAUCUCUGCUCAAAGCCAUUGUAGCAGAAGGCUCUUCCCUGACCCCGCUCCCUUAUUCUCUGUGCAUUUCUGCAUGGUCCUGAUCGUCAUCUGACAUGAGCAGACGUGCUCAUCAUCUGCUUCCUCCCACAAGACCGCACGCCCGACCUUCACACAUUUAAACAGCUGAAAAUGUUAAGAGCUCAUCUGUGAGCCCGAAGACACAGAUUCCAGCCUCAUCUCUACAGUUCAGAGCCCUGGGAACUUGGAAAGCAAGAGUUCUUUCGUUCAGCAAAUAUUUAUUGAUCAUUCACUAUGUGCCAGGCGCUCCUCUAAGUCCUUGAAAUACAUCACUGAGCACAAUAGAUACAGAUCCCUGUCCUCGAGGGGCUUCUAUUCUAGUGGUGGUGCUGGGAGCACAAUAAACAGUAAACAUAGUAAGUAAACUAGGAGAUUAGUGGCUGUAUAGGAAACAGAACAGGUAGAGCAGGGAAGGGGGCAUGUUUGCAAUUUUAAGUAGAUUAGGGCAGGCCUUGGUGAGGAGGUGGUGUUUAAAGAAAGAUUUGAAGGCGGGGAAGGAGUGAGGCAAAUAAGUGUCUGGAGAAAAGCAUUAUAAACAGAUGGGUCAGCUGGUGCAGGGGUCACACUCUGAGGUCACAGUGAGACUGCUGGACUCAGGGAACAGCAGAGAGGCCAGAGAGCUCGAGGUGUCAUGGCCAGCCUGUGGACCACUGCAGGACUUUGACUUGUACUGGAGGUCAAAUGGGAGCCACUGGAGGGUUUUGAGCUGAUGGAUGACAUGAUCUGAUUUACACAUUAAAAGAACCGCUUUGGCUGCUGUGUUAAGAAUAGAGUUGGUGGGAGGCAACAGGAGAAAGAAGUAGAUGAGUGAAAAAAAUUUGCAGGAAUUCUUGAGUAAGACAUGAGAAACCUUGGCUCUGGGUGUGGUGGUAGAGGUGGGUAUGUUUAGAACGUAGAGCUGAUAGGAUUUUCUGAUGGAUAGGGUGCAUGGGGAGGGAGUUGGGGGUGACUUCCAGGGUCUUGGCCUGAGCCGUGGGAGGGGGGUGGCAUGGCCAUCAUCUGAGCGGGGAGCCUGCUGGUGUUGGCGUUAGUGGGAAGAUCAAGGGCUCAGUUGGGACCACCUAGAGCUUGCGUGGUCUGUGAGACAUCCAAGUGGAGAUGGCAAGUCUGAAAUUUGGGAGAGAAGUCUGAGCCAGGGAGACAGGUAUGGGUUUGGGAAUCUUCCUCAUGUAGAUGACACUUAAAGACAUGAGACUGGAUGAAACAACCAGGAGUGAGUGUAAGCAGGGAGGAGACCAAGGGCUCAUCUUCCUGAGCCCAGCGUUUGCUCAGCUGGACAAGAUAAAAGCCAUGGCUGCCCCGCCUGCCUCACAGGGCGCCUGUCAGGACCCUCUGCAAGCUGUGGGAGCAGAGUUCAGAUGA
This is a non-coding RNA of Microcebus murinus (gray mouse lemur), 4267 nucleotides long. NCBI's taxonomy places the organism in Eukaryota, Metazoa, Chordata, Mammalia, Primates, Cheirogaleidae. The record is from RefSeq and is a predicted model, not a curated record.